RNAcentral lists this ribosomal RNA (465 nucleotides) under Vreelandella stevensii. RNAcentral describes it as "partial 16S ribosomal RNA". It matches the Rfam family "Bacterial small subunit ribosomal RNA", at positions 338 to 795 of the family's 1533-position model. The record is from RNAcentral. Lineage: Bacteria; Pseudomonadati; Pseudomonadota; Gammaproteobacteria; Oceanospirillales; Halomonadaceae.
CCUACGGGGGGUUGCAGUGGGGAAUAUUGGACAAUGGGCGAAAGCCUGAUCCAGCCAUGCCGCGUGUGUGAAGAAGGCCUUCGGGUUGUAAAGCACUUUCAGUGGGGAAGAAAGCCUUGGGGCUAAUACCCUCGAGGAAGGACAUCACCCACAGAAGAAGCACCGGCUAACUCCGUGCCAGCAGCCGCGGUAAUACGGAGGGUGCGAGCGUUAAUCGGAAUUACUGGGCGUAAAGCGCGCGUAGGCGGUCUGAUAAGCCGGUUGUGAAAGCCCCGGGCUCAACCUGGGAACGGCAUCCGGAACUGUCAGGCUAGAGUGCAGGAGAGGAAGGUAGAAUUCCCGGUGUAGCGGUGAAAUGCGUAGAGAUCGGGAGGAAUACCAGUGGCGAAGGCGGCCUUCUGGACUGACACUGACGCUGAGGUGCGAAAGCGUGGGUAGCAAACAGGAUUAGAUACCCGGGUAGUC